RNAcentral lists this long non-coding RNA (284 nucleotides) under Lathyrus oleraceus (garden pea). RNAcentral's name for it is "Pisum sativum (pea) long non-coding RNA (PSAT_LNC025794)". The record is from RNAcentral. Lineage: Eukaryota; Viridiplantae; Streptophyta; Magnoliopsida; Fabales; Fabaceae.
UUCCCUCUGAGUGGGAUGAAUACAGAAACAUAUGUCAUAUACUAAGUAUAGGUCGGAAGACAUGACCAGCCGGAUAUACGUCGGAAGUAUUGGAGGAUUCAAGCCUGAAAAUGGUACAUAUGAAUCAUUAGUAAAAGAUGCAGAAAUGGACGUAACAAAAGUGUUAUAAAAAUAACACGCUAAAAGAUACAAAAAUGUUAUCGUCAACAAUGUGAUGCUGCCUAUCACCUGUUUGGUCUUCCACAUACAAUCUUUGACUAAUUUAGAAUACAAGUAGACCAAAC